Molecule: ribosomal RNA, 467 nt
Filed under: uncultured bacterium
Lineage: Bacteria
Description: partial 16S ribosomal RNA
Rfam family: Bacterial small subunit ribosomal RNA
Source: RNAcentral
GACGAACGCUGGCGGCGUGCUUAACACAUGCAAGUCGAACGGAAAGGCCCUGCUUUUGUGGGGUGCUCGAGUGGCGAACGGGUGAGUAACACGUGAGUAACCUGCCCUUGACUUUGGGAUAACUUCAGGAAACUGGGGCUAAUACCGGAUAGGAGCUCCUGCUGCAUGGUGGGGGUUGGAAAGUUUCGGCGGUUGGGGAUGGACUCGCGGCUUAUCAGCUUGUUGGUGGGGUAGUGGCUUACCAAGGCUUUGACGGGUAGCCGGCCUGAGAGGGUGACCGGCCACAUUGGGACUGAGAUACGGCCCAGACUCCUACGGGAGGCAGCAGUGGGGAAUAUUGCACAAUGGGCGGAAGCCUGAUGCAGCAACGCCGCGUGCGGGAUGACGGCCUUCGGGUUGUAAACCGCUUUCGCCUGUGACGAAGCGUGAGCGACGGUAAUGGGUAAAGAAGCACCGGCUAACUACGU